GUCGUUAAACGUUGUACUUCUUAAGUUAGAUAGGUUAGGGUUAUUUUUUUUUUUUUUUUUUGUUAAACGAAACUGUCGUUAAACGUACUUCUUAAGUUAGAUAGGUUAGGGUUAUUUUUUUUUUUUUUUUUUUGUUAAACGAAACUGUCGUUAAACGUACUUCUUAAGUUAGAUAGGUUAGGGUUAUUUUUUUUUUUUUUGUUAAACGAAACUGUCGUUAAACGUACUUCUUAAGUUAGAUAGGUUAGGGUUAUUUUUUUUUUUUUUGUUAAACGAAACUGUCGUUAAACGUACUUCUUAAGUUAGAUAGGUUAGGGUUAUUUUUUUUUUGUUAAACGAAACUGUCGUUAAACGUACUUCUUAAGUUAGAUAGGUUAGGGUUAUUUUUUUUUUUUUGUUAAACGAUACUGUCGUUAAACGUACUUCUUAAGUUAGAUAGGUUAGGGUUAUUUUUUUAUUUUUUUUGUUAAACGAAACUGUCGUUAAACGUACUUCUUAAGUUAGAUAGGUUAGGGUUAUUUUUUUUUUUUUGUUAAACGAAACUGUCGUUAAACGUACUUCUUAAGUUAGAUAGGUUAGGGUUAUUUUUUUUUUUUUUUUCGUUAAACGAAACUGUCGUUAAACGUACUUCUUAAGUUAGAUAGGUUAGGGUUAUUUUUUUUUUUUUUUUGUUAAACGAAACUGUCGUUAAACGUACUUCUUAAGUUAAAUAGGUUAGGGUUAUUUUUUUUUUUUUUUUUGUUAAACGAAACUGUCGAUAAAUGUUUAAUUAAUUUUAUAUAUAAUAUAUAAAGUAUAGCAAUUAAUUUUAUAUACAAUAUUAAUUAUAUGUAUAUGAUAAUUUUAAAUUAGAUACGUUAUGGUUGUUUUUUUUUUUGCA
This 880-nucleotide unclassified non-coding RNA is filed under the name Melitaea cinxia (Glanville fritillary). RNAcentral describes it as "misc RNA ENSMCXG00005008244.1". The record is from RNAcentral. Lineage: Eukaryota; Metazoa; Arthropoda; Insecta; Lepidoptera; Nymphalidae.